This 119-nucleotide ribosomal RNA is filed under the name Pteropus alecto (black flying fox). The record is from RNAcentral. Lineage: Eukaryota; Metazoa; Chordata; Mammalia; Chiroptera; Pteropodidae.
GUCUACGGCCAUGCCACCCUGAACGUGCCCUAUCUCGUCUGAUCUCGGAAGCUAAGCAGGGUCGGGCCUGGUUAGUACUUGGAUGGGAGACCACAUAGGAAGACUAGGUGCUGUAGGUG